AUUGAACGCUGGCGGAAUGCUUUACACAUGCAAGUCGAACGGCAGCACGGGGGCAGCCCUGGUGGCGAGUGGCGAACGGGUGAGUAAUACAUCGGAACGUGCCCGGUCGUGGGGGAUAACGUAGCGAAAGUUACGCUAAUACCGCAUACGAUCUGAGGAUGAAAGCGGGGGACCUUCGGGCCUCGCGCGAUCGGAGCGGCCGAUGUCAGAUUAGGUAGUUGGUGGGGUAAAGGCCUACCAAGCCGACGAUCUGUAGCUGGUCUGAGAGGACGACCAGCCACACUGGAACUGAGACACGGCCCAGACUCCUACGGGAGGCAGCAGUGGGGAAUUUUGGGCAAUGGGCGCAAGCCUGAUCCAGCCAUUCCGCGUGCAGGACGAAGGCCUUCGGGUUGUAAACUGCUUUUGUACGGAACGAAAAGGCUCUGGCUAAUACCUGGAGCUCAUGACGGUACCGUAAGAGUAAGCACCGGCUAACUACGUG
Molecule: ribosomal RNA, 484 nt
Filed under: uncultured bacterium
Lineage: Bacteria
Description: partial 16S ribosomal RNA
Rfam family: Bacterial small subunit ribosomal RNA
Source: RNAcentral